Molecule: ribosomal RNA, 836 nt
Filed under: Escherichia coli
Lineage: Bacteria; Pseudomonadati; Pseudomonadota; Gammaproteobacteria; Enterobacterales; Enterobacteriaceae
Description: partial 23S ribosomal RNA
Rfam family: Bacterial large subunit ribosomal RNA
Source: RNAcentral
GGGACACGUGGUAUCCUGUCUGAAUAUGGGGGGACCAUCCUCCAAGGCUAAAUACUCCUGACUGACCGAUAGUGAACCAGUACCGUGAGGGAAAGGCGAAAAGAACCCCGGCGAGGGGAGUGAAAAAGAACCUGAAACCGUGUACGUACAAGCAGUGGGAGCCUCUUAAUGGGGUGACUGCGUACCUUUUGUAUAAUGGGUCAGCGACUUAUAUUCUGUAGCAAGGUUAACCGAAUAGGGGAGCCGAAGGGAAACCGAGUCUUAACUGGGCGUUAAGUUGCAGGGUAUAGACCCGAAACCCGGUGAUCUAGCCAUGGGCAGGUUGAAGGUUGGGUAACACUAACUGGAGGACCGAACCGACUAAUGUUGAAAAAUUAGCGGAUGACUUGUGGCUGGGGGUGAAAGGCCAAUCAAACCGGGAGAUAGCUGGUUCUCCCCGAAAGCUAUUUAGGUAGCGCCUCGUGAAUUCAUCUCCGGGGGUAGAGCACUGUUUCGGCAAGGGGGUCAUCCCGACUUACCAACCCGAUGCAAACUGCGAAUACCGGAGAAUGUUAUCACGGGAGACACACGGCGGGUGCUAACGUCCGUCGUGAAGAGGGAAACAACCCAGACCGCCAGCUAAGGUCCCAAAGUCAUGGUUAAGUGGGAAACGAUGUGGGAAGGCCCAGACAGCCAGGAUGUUGGCUUAGAAGCAGCCAUCAUUUAAAGAAAGCGUAAUAGCUCACUGGUCGAGUCGGCCUGCGCGGAAGAUGUAACGGGGCUAAACCAUGCACCGAAGCUGCGGCAGCGACACUAUGUGUUGUUGGGUAGGGGAGCGUUCUGUAAGCCUGUGAAGG